GAGUUUGAUCGUGGCUCAGGAUGAACGCUGGCGGCAUGCCUAAUACAUGCAAGUCGAACGAAGUCUUUAGGAAGCUUGCUUCCAAAGAGACUUAGUGGCGAACGGGUGAGUAACACGUAGGUAACCUGCCCAUGUGCCCGGGAUAACUGCUGGAAACGGUAGCUAAAACCGGAUAGGUAUGAGGGAGGCAUCUUCCUCAUAUUAAAGCACCUUCGGGUGUGAACAUGGAUGGACCUGCGGCGCAUUAGCUGGUUGGUGAGGUAACGGCCCACCAAGGCGAUGAUGCGUAGCCGACCUGAGAGGGUGAACGGCCACAUUGGGACUGAGACACGGCCCAAACUCCUACGGGAGGCAGCAGUAGGGAAUUUUCGUCAAUGGGGGGAACCCUGAACGAGCAAUGCCGCGUGUGUGAAGAAGGUCUUCGGAUCGUAAAGCACUGUUGUAAGUGAAGAAUGCCAUAUAGA
RNAcentral lists this ribosomal RNA (464 nucleotides) under uncultured bacterium. Its description in RNAcentral is "bacterial SSU rRNA". It matches the Rfam family "Bacterial small subunit ribosomal RNA", at positions 9 to 460 of the family's 1533-position model. The record is from RNAcentral.